AACGAACGCUGGCGGCAGGCUUAACACAUGCAAGUCGAACGGAUGUAGCAAUACAUUAGUGGCGCACGGGAGAGUAACGCGUGGGAACCUACCCUUUGGUCUGGGAUAACGUCGGGAAACUGACGCUAAUACCGGAUAAUCCCUAUGGGGCAAAGAUUUAUUGCCGAAGGAUGGGCCCGCGUUGGAUUAGCUAGUUGGUGAGGUAAUGGCCCACCAAGGCUACGAUCUAUAGCUGAUCUGAGAGGAUGAUCAGCCUCAUUGGGACUGAGACACGGCCCAAACUCCUACGGGAGGCAGCAGUGGGGAAUAUUGGACAAUGGGGGAAACCCUGAUCCAGCCAUGCCGCGUGAGUGAUGAAGGCCUUCGGGUUGUAAAGCUCUUUUGGUAGGGACGAUAAUGACGGUACCUACAGAAUAAGCUCCGGCUAACUUCGUGCCAGCCGCCGCUGUAA
This 451-nucleotide ribosomal RNA is filed under the name uncultured bacterium. Its description in RNAcentral is "partial 16S ribosomal RNA". It matches the Rfam family "Bacterial small subunit ribosomal RNA", at positions 29 to 523 of the family's 1533-position model. The record is from RNAcentral.